AUUGAACGCUGGCGGCAGGCCUAACACAUGCAAGUCGAGCGGAUGACGGGAGCUUGCUCCUUGAUUCAGCGGCGGACGGGUGAGUAAUGCCUAGGAAUCUGCCUGGUAGUGGGGGACAACGUUUCGAAAGGAACGCUAAUACCGCAUACGUCCUACGGGAGAAAGCAGGGGACCGUCGGGCCUUGCGCUAUCAGAUGAGCCUAGGUCGGAUUAGCUAGUUGGUGGGGUAAUGGCUCACCAAGGCGACGACCCGUAACUGGUCUGAGAGGAGGAUCAGUCACACUGGAACUGAGACACGGUCCAGACUCCUACGGGAGGCAGCAGUGGGGAAUAUUGGACAAUGGGCGAAAGCCUGAUCCAGCCAUGCCGCGUGUGUGAAGAAGGUCUUCGGAUUGUAAAGCACUUUAAGUUGGGAGGAAGGGCAGUAAGUUAAUACCUUGCUGUUUUGACGUUACCGGCAGAAUAAGCACCGGCUAACUCUGUGCCAGCAGCCGCCGUAA
This 500-nucleotide ribosomal RNA is filed under the name uncultured bacterium. RNAcentral's name for it is "partial 16S ribosomal RNA". It matches the Rfam family "Bacterial small subunit ribosomal RNA", at positions 30 to 523 of the family's 1533-position model. The record is from RNAcentral.